UACAGUGGCCUCAAGCGUUGCUCGGAAUCACUGGGCGUAAAGCGCACGUAGGCGGAUCUUUAAGUCAGGGGUGAAAUCCCAAGGCUCAACCUUGGAACUGCCUUUGAUACUGGGGAUCUCGAGUCCGGAAGAGGUGAGUGGAACUGCGAGUGUAGAGGUGAAAUUCGUAGAUAUUCGCAAGAACACCAGUGGCGAAGGCGGCUCACUGGUCCGGUACUGACGCUGAGGUGCGAAAGCGUGGGGAGCAAACAGG
Molecule: ribosomal RNA, 253 nt
Filed under: uncultured bacterium
Lineage: Bacteria
Description: partial 16S ribosomal RNA
Rfam family: Bacterial small subunit ribosomal RNA
Source: RNAcentral